RNAcentral lists this ribosomal RNA (254 nucleotides) under uncultured bacterium. RNAcentral describes it as "partial 16S ribosomal RNA". It matches the Rfam family "Bacterial small subunit ribosomal RNA", at positions 524 to 776 of the family's 1533-position model. The record is from RNAcentral.
CACGUAGGGACCAAGCGUUGUCCGGAUUUAUUGGGCGUAAAGCGCUCGUAGGCGGUUCGGUAAGUCGGGUGUGAAACCCCUGGGCUCAACCCGGGGACGCCACCCGAUACUGCUGUGACUCGAGUUCGGUAGGGGAGCGGGGAAUUCCUGGUGUAGCGGUGAAAUGCGCAGAUAUCAGGAAGAACACCCGUGGCGAAGGCGGCUCUCUGGGACGGUACUGACGCUGAGACGCGAAAGCGUGGGGAGCGAACAGG